UUUAUUGGGCGUAAAGAGCUCGUAGGCGGUUUGUCGCGUCUGCUGUGAAAUCCCGAGGCUCAACCUCGGGCCUGCAGUGGGUACGGGCAGACUAGAGUGCGGUAGGGGAGAUUGGAAUUCCUGGUGUAGCGGUGGAAUGCGCAGAUAUCAGGAGGAACACCGAUGGCGAAGGCAGAUCUCUGGGCCGUAACUGACGCUGAGGAGCGAAAGGGUGGGGAGCAAACAGGCUUAGAUACCCUGGUAGUCCACCCCGUAAACGUUGGGAACUAGUUGUGGGGACCAUUCCACGGUUUCCGUGACGCAGCUAACGCAUUAAGUUCCCCGCCUGGGGAGUACGGCCGCAAGGCUAAAACUCAAAGGAAUUGACGGGGACCCGCACAAGCGGCGGAGCAUGCGGAUUAAUUCGAUGCAACGCGAAGAACCUUACCAAGGCUUGACAUAUACGAGAACGGGCCAGAAAUGGUCAACUCUUUGGACACUCGUAAACAGGUGGUGCAUGGUUGUCGUCAGCUCGUGUCGUGAGAUGUUGGGUUAAGUCCCGCAACGAGCGCAACCCUCGUUCUAUGUUGCCAGCACGUAAUGGUGGGAACUCAUGGGAUACUGCCGGGGUCAACUCGGAGGAAGGUGGGGAUGACGUCAAAUCAUCAUGCCCCUUAUGUCUUGGGCUUCACGCAUGCUACAAUGGCCGGUACAAAGGGCUGCGAUACCGUGAGGUGGAGCGAAUCCCAAAAAGCCGGUCCCAGUUCGGAUUGAGGUCUGCAACUCGACCUCAUGAAGUCGGAGUCGCUAGUAAUCGCA
RNAcentral lists this ribosomal RNA (798 nucleotides) under Microbacterium sp. R15. RNAcentral describes it as "bacterial SSU rRNA". It matches the Rfam family "Bacterial small subunit ribosomal RNA", at positions 550 to 1346 of the family's 1533-position model. Lineage: Bacteria; Bacillati; Actinomycetota; Actinomycetes; Micrococcales; Microbacteriaceae. RNAcentral also lists the same sequence under 1 other name. The record is from RNAcentral.